Molecule: ribosomal RNA, 334 nt
Filed under: uncultured bacterium
Lineage: Bacteria
Description: partial 16S ribosomal RNA
Rfam family: Bacterial small subunit ribosomal RNA
Source: RNAcentral
CCUACGGGUGGCAGCAGUGAGGAAUAUUGGUCAAUGGACGAGAGUCUGAACCAGCCAAGUAGCGUGAAGGAUGACUGCCCUAUGGGUUGUAAACUUCUUUUAUAGGGGAAUAAAAUGUGCCACGAGUGGGAUUUUGUAUGUAACAGAUGAAUAAGGAUCGGCUAACGCCGUGCCAGCAUCCGCGGUAAUACGGAGGAUCCGAGCUUUAUCCGGAUUUAGUGGGUUGACAGGGAGCGUAGGUGGAUUGUUAAGUCAGUUGUGAAAGUUUGCGGCUCAACCGUACAAGUGCAGUUGAAACUGGCAGUCUUGAGUACAGUAGCGGUUGGCGGACUUC